Molecule: transfer RNA, 57 nt
Filed under: Ichthyoxenos japonensis
Lineage: Eukaryota; Metazoa; Arthropoda; Malacostraca; Isopoda; Cymothoidae
Description: tRNA-Asp
Source: RNAcentral
GCAGUUUUAGAAAUAUAAAAUUGUCAAUUUUAAGUUGUAAUCACCUUAUAAAAUACC